GUGCCAGCCGCCGCGGUAAUACCGGCAGCCCGAGUGAUGGCCGAUCUUAUUGGGCCUAAAGCGUCCGUAGCUGGCCGCGCAAGUCCAUCGGGAAAUCCACCUGCUCAACAGGUGGGCGCCCGGUGGAAACUGUGCGGCUUGGGACCGGAAGGCUCGAAGGGUACGUUCGGGGUAGGAGUGAAAUCCCAUAAUCCCGCACGGACCACCGAUGGCGAAAGCACUUCGAGAAAACGGAUCCGACAGUGAGGGACGAAAGCCAGGGUCUCCAACCGGAUUAGAUACCCCUGUAGUCC
Molecule: ribosomal RNA, 293 nt
Filed under: uncultured bacterium
Lineage: Bacteria
Description: partial 16S ribosomal RNA
Rfam family: Archaeal small subunit ribosomal RNA
Source: RNAcentral